Molecule: ribosomal RNA, 406 nt
Filed under: Crassitoniella flammea
Lineage: Eukaryota; Metazoa; Mollusca; Gastropoda; Littorinimorpha; Eatoniellidae
Description: bacterial SSU rRNA
Rfam family: Eukaryotic small subunit ribosomal RNA
Source: RNAcentral
UAAGCCNUGCAUGUCUCGGUUCAGAUCCUCGGUAAAGUGAAACUGCGAAUGGCUCAUUAAAUCAGUCGAGGUUCCCUAGACGAUUGACACUUGUUACUUGGACAACUGUGGCAAUUCCAGAGCUAAUACAUGCCUCGAAGCUCCUACCUGGCGCGGUGCCACCCUCCGGGUGCCCGCGCCGGGGAAGAGCGCACUUAUUAGACCAAAACCAGUCGGUGCGGGCGGCGGGACACACGCGGGGCAACCCGCGCCCGCCGCCGGCCGUCCUCUUUGGUGACUCUGGAUAACCUUGCGCAGAUCGCAUGGCCCUCGCGCCGGCGACACGUCUUACAAAUGUCUGCCCUAUCAAAUCUCGACGGUAGGCGACAUGCCUACCGUGUUUGCAACGGGUAACGGGGAAUCAGGG